ACAGAACUCUUGUACAGUUAAUUUCAGCUUGCAGACCAUGGGCCUUUCUUUUCUUUGUUACCUUUCAGAGAACUCUAAAGAACUAUUUCAUAGUUGCCUCUGGGUCUACAGGUCACAAGCUGAAAAUGCAGCUCUGUGACCAGGGAAAAGGACUUCAGCUGUUCCCUGCUGAUGACCAAUGAGCUUUGAAUGACGGUUGAUAUAACUUGGGUGACGAGGUUUCUGAAUUACAGCUUUCGUCUGGAUAUCUCAAGGAGCUUGCAGGACUGCCGUUGAAGGACACUGGAGAUGUCCCCCCUUGAGUCUGCAAGGAGUGUCCGAUGAGAGAACCGCAGCAGCUGCUUGGGGCCCUCCUGCCCAGCAGUGAAAGACUGACCAGUACAAGCAUUUACACUGUUAUCCUGGGGCACGUCUGUCUCCGGAGAAAGCAAAUGGUAAAGCCACUCUCAGACCUCCAUAGAACAACACUGUGAAGUUAGCCCCGUUGCGGGAAGCAGAGAGUUGAAUGUUGCUGCAUAGCCGUUGCUUUUCUUCUCUCAGGAUUCAGCAAAGUGGGUGCAUAACAUUGGCAAAACGACAACUUGGUAAUUUAAUUGUUCAUAUAUGUAUUAUAUGGAAUUUCUUAAUAAUACUCUCAGCUUCUCUUUC
RNAcentral lists this long non-coding RNA (648 nucleotides) under Struthio camelus australis. RNAcentral describes it as "lncRNA (ENSSCUG00000014619.1)". The record is from RNAcentral. Lineage: Eukaryota; Metazoa; Chordata; Aves; Struthioniformes; Struthionidae.